UAUCUACUCGCUCCGUCCCGAAUUACUUGUCGUAGAAAUGGAUGUAUCUAGACGUAUUUUUAGUUCUUGAUACAUCCAUUUCUGCGAUGAGUAAUUCGGGACGGAGGGAGUAGUAU
This is a non-coding RNA of Hordeum vulgare subsp. vulgare (domesticated barley), 116 nucleotides long. The record is from Rfam. NCBI's taxonomy places the organism in Eukaryota, Viridiplantae, Streptophyta, Magnoliopsida, Poales, Poaceae.